GUUCGGCUGAUUUUGUUUUGACAGUUUUCAUGGACCUCCCCUUUUUUUAAUUGACUUUAGGUUCGGUAUUUUUGUUAUAAAUGCUUUACUGGAUACCAAGGCGGGUUUCACAUGUGGUGCGCCAGAGGUACUCCUCAGAUUUUAAUGAGGUUUCGUUUUGCGUAGUCUUCAGUUUUCUAUGUGGUGUUUUAUUGAUUCCGUUUGCCUUUUUGGUAUUAUUUUUUAUGAUUUGUAAGUUUACUUUUAAUUUAUGAGUUUAGAUAUUCCUUUGGUAUCUUUCGCCUUAUUUUUUCAUAUGAGAAAAAAUGUUUGCUUGUAAGUCAUCCCAAGGACAAAUAGAAAUAUUUA
This 348-nucleotide long non-coding RNA is filed under the name Mytilus galloprovincialis (Mediterranean mussel). The record is from RNAcentral. Lineage: Eukaryota; Metazoa; Mollusca; Bivalvia; Mytilida; Mytilidae.